This 302-nucleotide ribosomal RNA is filed under the name Bacillus velezensis. Its description in RNAcentral is "bacterial SSU rRNA". It matches the Rfam family "Bacterial small subunit ribosomal RNA", at positions 430 to 723 of the family's 1533-position model. Lineage: Bacteria; Bacillati; Bacillota; Bacilli; Caryophanales; Bacillaceae. The record is from RNAcentral.
GCUCUGUUGUUAGGGAAGAACAAGUGCCGUUCAAAUAGGGCGGCACCUUGACGGUACCUAACCAGAAAGCCACGGCUAACUACGUGCCAGCAGCCGCGGUAAUACGUAGGGGGCAAGCGUUGUCCGGAAUUAUUGGGCGUAAAGGGCUCGCAGGCGGUUUCUUAAGUCUGAUGUGAAAGCCCCCGGCUCAACCGGGGAGGGUCAUUGGAAACUGGGGAACUUGAGUGCAGAAGAGGAGAGUGGAAUUCCACGUGUAGCGGUGAAAUGCGUAGAGAUGUGGAGGAACACCAGUGGCGAAGGCG